Molecule: non-coding RNA, 1520 nt
Organism: Chelonoidis abingdonii (Abingdon island giant tortoise)
Lineage: Eukaryota; Metazoa; Chordata; Testudines; Testudinidae
Source: RefSeq, a predicted model, not a curated record
GGGGCUUGGAGUCCACUGCUGGCGGAGCGGUUCUGUUCCGGCGCGCGAGCCGCCGGGGGCAGCUGGGCCGGGUUCCGGUGUUCGUCACAGCAGGUGGCCAGCUUAAGGUACGUUGAUCAAUAAGAGAAAUGAAGGUGUCUCAAGGCCGCCCAGAGUCCAAAUGAGGACGGUGACCCUGGCACACUGGCAAAGAGAUGGACAUUCCCCAAGAAAAAAGCAAUUACAUUAAAAAUGCUGGACUGUCCUAACUAUUGGUAGAACAGUCGGUUUAAAGAGCUUCAACUCUGAAUGAUCUGUCCCAACUCUUUUAUGCAGAUUUGUCUGAGGCUGCACUUUAACUUUCCCAUCAGUACUGUCAGGAACCUAAUCUGAGAGCAGAAGGAGACCCUGAUAAGAGACUAGUUGGAGGUACUAAUGGCAGAAAGGUCCAUAGGGUUGGGAAUGUCUGGCUUUUGUCCAAAGAUGAAUGCUUGUGAAACGGAUAUUAACUUUCCUUGCAAUAAUGUUCAAAUCAGUACUGAGUGAUAAGAUUUUAUUGGCAAAUUCACUGUGACCUAGGUCAGUGUUUCUCACACCUAGCUAAAAUUAUCUGGCAUGCCUUUGUUUUCCCUGAUCCAUGGUUAUAUUAAUACAGAACUUUUAAUCUGUCUCUUCCGAUAGAGGCUUUUCAGAACAGUGAUAGCAGACAUACCAUUUGAGCAAUCCAGCGUACUCAGUUUCUUUAAACUUUCCCCAAUCAGUCUCUCAGUGAGACGCUCCCAACAGUUCUCUAGUAAACACAGGGUUAAUGUGUGUCCCAGAAAGAGAGCAUGUUUUAUGUGAUCUGAGUGGAUGGAGCACAGGAAUUGGAGUAUGGAAUGCCUGUGUUCUAAUCUUAGUUCUGCCACUUAAUUGCUGUACUGGCCUUCUGCCUUAGUUUCCCAGUCUGUAGAAUGGGGAUAAAUCUUCCCUACCUCACAGGUGUGAUCUGAGGAGUAAUAUUUGUGCCAUGCCUUCAAGGUGUAAUGUGCUAUAUAACGUCUAAUUAUUGUUAUAGGUCAGUCUUUUAAAAAUAACUUAAAUAUGAAUUUAGGAGCCCAGUUUUAGGCUCCUAUUUGUUUGAAAAUCCUAGCCACAAUUUAAUAAUUCACCGUAGAAAUGAGCAGUUUCAGUUGAAUAGCCAGUGCAGCAAAUGUAAACUACAGUUGCCCCUACACAGAUAUGAAUCAAACAAAAUCUUGUCUCAGUUUGAAAUGUUUACAUGUGAAAGAUCAGUUAACUUGAAUCCAGGAAUUUGAGAGUUGGUAGAGGGGCUCUCUGACCAACUGAGGCUGAUUUUUUUUUUUUUUCUUUCCAAAUCUUGGAGCACUGAGGAAGUUCCUGGGGACCAGGGAAAAAAGGCUAAUGUUCUACCAGCAUGUGAAAAGAGUAAACAGGAGGACUCUGGUACCUAUAGGCUGGUUAGCUUGAUGCAAAAUCAUGGAAAGGUUGAUAGGGGAUGCAAUCAGUAAAUAAUUAAAGGAUGGUGGCAUAAUACCAAA